GAUGAACGCUGGCGGCGUGCCUAAUACAUGCAAGUCGAGCGAACGGACGAGAAGCUUGCUUCUCUGAUGUUAGCGGCGGACGGGUGAGUAACACGUGGAUAACCUACCUAUAAGACUGGGAUAACUUCGGGAAACCGGAGCUAAUACCGGAUGAUAUUUUGAAACGCAUGGUUCAAAAGUGAAAGACGGUCUUGCUGUCACUUAUAGAUGGAUCCGCGCUGCAUUAGCUAGUUGGUAAGGUAACGGCUUACCAAGGCAACGAUGCAUAGCCGACCUGAGAGGGUGAUCGGCCACACUGGAACUGAGACACGGUCCAGACUCCUACGGGAGGCAGCAGUAGGGAAUCUUCCGCAAUGGGCGAAAGCCUGACGGAGCAACGCCGCGUGAGUGAUGAAGGUCUUCGGAUCGUAAAACUCUGUUAUUAGGGAAGAACAUAUGUGUAAGUAACUGUGAACAUCUUGACGGUACCUAAUCAGAAAGCCACGGCUAACUACGUG
RNAcentral lists this ribosomal RNA (497 nucleotides) under uncultured bacterium. RNAcentral describes it as "partial 16S ribosomal RNA". It matches the Rfam family "Bacterial small subunit ribosomal RNA", at positions 28 to 507 of the family's 1533-position model. The record is from RNAcentral.